RNAcentral lists this long non-coding RNA (304 nucleotides) under Cavia porcellus (domestic guinea pig). Its description in RNAcentral is "lncRNA (ENSCPOG00000031911.1)". The record is from RNAcentral. Lineage: Eukaryota; Metazoa; Chordata; Mammalia; Rodentia; Caviidae.
UCUUCAUGUUGACUUCCUAGCUUCUGUUAUAGAAGAAAAGAAGAACGGCUGAGGUCUGUGCCAGUCUCCGGAGUAUGGACUUCUCAGUUACCUACAGACUAGCUGGCCGAUCACUCCUAAGGGUGGGCGUUUCUGCUUAGGACAGCAACAAUAAGGCUCUAUUAAAUGAGUGCACCUGGGCCAGGAACAUAGCUCAGCAGCACAGCUCCUGCCUGUAAUGGGGAGAGAAAAAAUGGACCUAAGGAAGGAAUUCCACUCAGGGAACGGAUCAGGCAGACUUCAUCAGAACAGCGUUAUCUGCUGA